AAAGGUUUCAUCUUUUUCCAUAAUAAGUCUACAUAUUAAGUCAACAACUUGUAUUUUUGUAACUGCAUUGACCCUUUUUCAUGUUGAUCUUGCAAUUGAACUUCUGGAGGACCUCUUGGUGUUAUUCAAUGUACUCCUUUUUGUUUUGGGGCCACAUAUGCCAUUUCCUUCAGAUAUUGACCUUUGCAAAUGUUCAUUUCCUAAGGUGGCUGAUCAAGAGUCUUUAGCUGUUUCUUCUAACUUUGUGAUAUGUUCUCAUGGGGCUUCUAGCACAUCCAGUAAUCCGGAUGAAGCAAAGAGAAAGAUUGAUGCAUCUAAAGCUGCCACAAGAAAAGAUGUACUCCAAGAUGCUAAUCUGUAGUUUGCUCCUAGAGAUCUGUCAAAAAUUGUUCUGACAAGUGUUUCAAAUUAUUUUACUGGGGACUGGAUCAGAUUGAAUUUCAGUUGUGGUGUUUCAGAGGUGAAUAAGAUUUCAAAUAACAACUUUCAGAAUAUUGGUUUCUUUGCUGAUUACUUGUAUUCACAAGCAGAUUAUCUACAACUUGUAAACUAUCAAGAUUCGGUAUAUAGGGCUUCCCAAUUUGAACAUUUGGCAGCUGAUUUGUGUUCCCAGCAUGACAACCCCAGAAAGCCAUGAAGCUGCAAUAGAAUCCAUACUCUUGGCUGCAGAAUGUUAUGCCAACUCAUUCUUUAUAAUCGAUUUCAUAUGGAUGCAAUUCAGAGCUUAUGAAUCAGAUGAAAAUCAUUGGAUCCAAAUUCAUGAAUAAAAAUGGAUUAGUGGUGUUUUAUGAAGACCUUAAGAGAUGUAAUGUCAAUCUGGAGACAAUAGCUUAUCUUGAAAGUAAAAGAGAUAUAACUGUUCUACAAAUUCUGCUUCCGCUAAACUGGACCUCGAAUCUGAGAGAAUUUUGGCUCUUUGGAAACCUUGUACAUAUUAUUUUGAAGAUAAUCAGUAGGCUUUAGAAAUAUCACAAGUCGACAUUGAAUCUGAUGUGGCAACUUUGAUUAGGCAGAAUCAACCAUUGCUUUGCCACUUUGUAAUCCUCCUACAGAGUCUCCCCUCUUUCUACUGCAUUCUGCAACUGAGUUAUCCUGUUCUGUAGAGAAUGUUAAUGACAUUAUACUGCAGUCAGCUGCAAAUCUUAGUGGACAA
Musa acuminata AAA Group (dessert banana) is the source of this 1153-nucleotide long non-coding RNA. RefSeq lists it as uncharacterized. The record is from RefSeq and is a predicted model, not a curated record. The transcript is spliced from 2 exons. NCBI's taxonomy places the organism in Eukaryota, Viridiplantae, Streptophyta, Magnoliopsida, Zingiberales, Musaceae.